Molecule: non-coding RNA, 327 nt
Organism: Drosophila bipectinata
Lineage: Eukaryota; Metazoa; Arthropoda; Insecta; Diptera; Drosophilidae
Source: RefSeq, a predicted model, not a curated record
GGUCUUACCAAGGAAAGAGACCAAGAGCCGUAAUAUUUGCGAGUCUAGCGGCCCACCUCAAAAACCUUGUCCCAUGAGCAGUUCUAAAAAUGCCACAGGAGCGCAAUCUUGGGAGGGGAACACUACAGCUGCCUCUAAUUGUAUCGCGUGUCCGAAUCAACAAAUGCAGCAACGCUACCAACAACCGACAACCCAAAAUUGGGAACCCAACAACGAUACAAUUUUGUUUGAACCUGAUCUGAACAGCACCAUGAUUGGGCGGAAUGAACGUUGUUCCAGAGAAUAUGAGCCCCAAGGAAUGCCCCAGGCAAGAUCAAAUUCGAGGCA